AUUGAACGCUGGCGGCAUGCCUUACACAUGCAAGUCGAACGGCAGCGCGGACUUCGGUCUGGCGGCGAGUGGCGAACGGGUGAGUAAUACAUCGGAACGUACCCUGUUGUGGGGGAUAACUAGUCGAAAGAUUAGCUCAUACCGCAUACGACCUGAGGGUGAAAGUGGGGGACCGCAAGGCCUCAUGCAGCAGGAGCGGCCGAUGUCUGAUUAGCUAGUUGGUGGGGUAAAGGCCCACCAAGGCGACGAUCAGUAGCUGGUCUGAGAGGACGAUCAGCCACACUGGGACUGAGACACGGCCCAGACUCCUACGGGAGGCAGCAGUGGGGAAUUUUGGACAAUGGGGGCAACCCUGAUCCAGCAAUGCCGCGUGUGUGAAGAAGGCCUUCGGGUUGUAAAGCACUUUUGUCCGGAAAGAAAUCGCGCUGGUUAAUACCUGGCGUGGAUGACGGUACCGGAAGAGUAAGCACCGGCUAACUACGUGCCAGCAGCCGCAGUAA
RNAcentral lists this ribosomal RNA (500 nucleotides) under uncultured bacterium. RNAcentral's name for it is "partial 16S ribosomal RNA". It matches the Rfam family "Bacterial small subunit ribosomal RNA", at positions 30 to 523 of the family's 1533-position model. The record is from RNAcentral.